Molecule: ribosomal RNA, 896 nt
Filed under: uncultured bacterium
Lineage: Bacteria
Description: bacterial SSU rRNA
Rfam family: Bacterial small subunit ribosomal RNA
Source: RNAcentral
AACGAACGCUGGCGGCGUGGUUUAGGCAUGCAAGUCGUACGAUCUACGGAUAGUGGCAAAAGGGUGAGUAACACGUGGGUAAUCUACCCCUAAGUUGGGAAUAACACCUCGAAAGAGAUGCUAAUACCGAAUAACACUUUAGGAACGUAUGUUCCUGAGGCUAAAGAUGGGGACCCCGCAAGGGGCCUAUCACUUAAGGAUGAGCCCGCGUCCUAUCAGCUUGUUGGUGAGGUAAUGGCUCACCAAGGCAUUUGACGGGUAGCUGGUCUGAGAGGAUGGUCAGCCACACUGGGACUGAGACACUGCCCAGACUCCUACGGGAGGCUGCAGUCGAGAAUCUUUCGCAAUGGGGGAAACCCUGACGAAGCGACGCCGCGUGGGCGAUGAAGGCCUUCGGGUUGUAAAGCCCUGUCACGAGGGGCGAACACAUGAUGGUUAAUAGCCUGAGUGUUUGACAGUACCUCGAGAGGAAGCCACGGCUAACUCCGUGCCAGCAGCCGCGGUAAUACGGAGGUGGCAAGCGUUGUUCGGAUUCAUUGGGUGUAAAGGGCAUGUAGGCGGCUUUUUAAGUUGAUUGUGAAAUCCCUCGGCUUAACCGAGGAACUGCAAUCAAAACUGAGAGGCUUGAGUGCAGAAGAGGAAAACGGAAUUCCCGGUGUAAGAGUGAAAUCUGCAGAGAUCGGGAGGAACACCAGUGGCGAAGGCGGUUUUCUGGUCUGCAACUGACGCUGAAAUGCGAAAGCUAGGGGAGCAAACAGGAUUAGAUACCCUGGUAGUCCUAGCCGUAAACGAUGGGCACUAGGUGUCGGGUAGCAAUACUCGGUGCCGCAGUUAACACAUUAAGUGCCCCACCUGGGGACUACGGCCGCAAGGUUGAAACUCAAAGGAAUUGACGG